This 1356-nucleotide ribosomal RNA is filed under the name uncultured bacterium. RNAcentral's name for it is "bacterial SSU rRNA". It matches the Rfam family "Bacterial small subunit ribosomal RNA", at positions 28 to 1381 of the family's 1533-position model. The record is from RNAcentral.
AUUGAACGCUGGCGGUAGGCUUAACACAUGCAAGUCGUGCGAGAAAGUAUCUUCGGAUAUGGGUAGAGCGGCGGACGGGUGAGUAACGCGUAGGAAUCUACCUAGUAGAAGGGGAUAGCCCGGGGAAACCCGGAUUAAUACCGUAUACCUCCUUCGGGAGAAAGAAGGCCUCUCUUUGAAGCUUUCGCUAUUAGAUGAGCCUGCGUAAGAUUAGCUUGUUGGUGAGGUAAAGGCUCACCAAGGCGACGAUCUUUAGCUGGUCUGAGAGGACGAUCAGCCACAUUGGGACUGAGACACGGCCCAGACUCCUACGGGAGGCAGCAGUGGGGAAUAUUGGACAAUGGGCGCAAGCCUGAUCCAGCCAUACCGCGUGUGUGAAGAAGGCCUUCGGGUUGUAAAGCACUUUAAGCAGGGAGAAAAAGUUAUAAGUUAAUACCUUAUAACCCUGAUGUUACCUGCAGAAUAAGCACCGGCUAAUUCCGUGCCAGCAGCCGCGGUAAUACGGAAGGUGCAAGCGUUAAUCGGAAUUACUGGGCGUAAAGCGCGCGUAGGUGGUUUGUUAAGUUGGAUGUGAAAGCCCUGGGCUCAACCUAGGAACUGCAUCCAAAACUAACUCACUAGAGUACGAUAGAGGGAGGUAGAAUUCAUAGUGUAGCGGUGGAAUGCGUAGAUAUUAUGAAGAAUACCAGUGGCGAAGGCGGCCUCCUGGAUCUGUACUGACACUGAGGUGCGAAAGCGUGGGUAGCGAACAGGAUUAGAUACCCUGGUAGUCCACGCCGUAAACGAUGACAACUAGCUGUUGGGAGACUAUGUCUUUCAGUGGCGCAGCUAACGCUUUAAGUUGUCCGCCUGGGGAGUACGGCCGCAAGGCUAAAGCUCAAAUGAAUUGACGGGGACCCGCACAAGCGGUGGAGCAUGUGGUUUAAUUCGAUGCAACGCGAAAAACCUUACCUACUCUUGACAUACUUGGAGGCUCUUGUAAUGAGAGUGUGCCUUUUGGAACCAAGAUACAGGUGCUGCAUGGCUGUCGUCAGCUCGUGUCGUGAGAUGUUCCGUUAAGUCGGAUAACGAGCGCAACCCUUACCCUUAUUUGCCAGCGAUUCGGUCGGGAACUAUAAGGGGACUGCCGGUGAUAAACCGGAGGAAGGUGAGGACGACGUCAAGUCAUCAUGGCCCUUACGAGUAGGGCUACACACGUGCUACAAUGGGAGAUACAGACGGACGCUAAGCCGCGAGGUGGUGCUAAUCCUAAAAAGUCUUUCGUAGUCCGGAUUGGAGUCUGCAACUCGACUCCAUGAAGUCGGAAUCGCUAGUAAUCGCGGAUCAGCAUGCCGCGGUGAAUACGUUCUCGGGUCU